AUUUUGGACAAUGGGGGAAACCCUGAUCCAGCCAUCCCGCGUGUAUGAUGAAGGCAUUCGGUUUGUAAAGUACUUUUGGCAGAGACGCAAUGGUAUCUCCUAAUACGAGAUACUGCUGACGGUAUCUGAAGAAUAAGCACCGGCUAACUACGUGCUAGCAGCCGCGGUAAUACGUAGGGUGCAAGCGUUAAUCGGAAUUACGUGGCGCAAAGCGUGUGUAGGCGGUUCGGAAAGAAAGAUGUGAAAUCCCAGGGCUCAACCUUGGAACUGCAUUUUUAACUGCCGAGCUAGAGUAUGUCAGAGGGGGGUAGAAUUCCACGUGUAGCAGUGAAAUGCGUAGAUAUGUGGAGGAAUACCGAUGGCGAAGGCAGCCCCCUGGGAUAAUACUGACGCUCAGACACGAAAGCGUGGGGAGCAAACA
RNAcentral lists this ribosomal RNA (421 nucleotides) under uncultured bacterium. Its description in RNAcentral is "partial 16S ribosomal RNA". It matches the Rfam family "Bacterial small subunit ribosomal RNA", at positions 361 to 774 of the family's 1533-position model. The record is from RNAcentral.